RNAcentral lists this unclassified non-coding RNA (120 nucleotides) under soil metagenome. Its description in RNAcentral is "partial internal transcribed spacer 1". The record is from RNAcentral.
UAAAAUUUUUCAUAUAUUGAAUUUAUUUUAAUAUAUAAAAUUUAUACAAAAAUGUAUUCAAAACCCACACACUUUAUAACCAUAAAAAAACGUUAUAUCUUUGUAUAUAAUAUAAAAAAA